GAGACCCCAGAUCAGGUGGGACUACCCGCUGAGUUUAAGCAUAUCAAUAAA
RNAcentral lists this ribosomal RNA (51 nucleotides) under Pleuropterus multiflorus (tuber fleeceflower). Its description in RNAcentral is "Fallopia multiflora partial 26S ribosomal RNA". Lineage: Eukaryota; Viridiplantae; Streptophyta; Magnoliopsida; Caryophyllales; Polygonaceae. The record is from RNAcentral.